AAGUCGUAACAAGGUAUCUGUAGGUGAACCUGCAGAUGGAUCAUUUCGAUGAAAAACCUUUUUUCUGAGGUGCGGCUCGCACCUGUCUAACUAAAAUAGAGCUAUCCAUUUUAACACGGUUGCAUCGGUUGGCUGUCCAAUAGCGCUUGCGCUACAAGACAGCCGACACACAACACAAACACUUUUGAUGAUCUAGGAUUCGAAGGAAUUUUUGAUUACGACUGGUAAUGCGGUCGUCUAAAUCUAAAAAACAACUUUUGGCAACGGAUCUCUUGGUUCUC
RNAcentral lists this unclassified non-coding RNA (281 nucleotides) under air metagenome. RNAcentral describes it as "partial contains small subunit ribosomal RNA, internal transcribed spacer 1, and 5.8S ribosomal RNA". The stretch from base 1 to 46 matches the Rfam family "Eukaryotic small subunit ribosomal RNA", at positions 1786 to 1831 of the family's 1831-position model. The record is from RNAcentral.